Long non-coding RNA from Oncorhynchus tshawytscha (Chinook salmon), 1785 nucleotides. Lineage: Eukaryota; Metazoa; Chordata; Actinopteri; Salmoniformes; Salmonidae. The record is from Ensembl.
CCUGUGCAGAGCAUAUGCCCCUUUGCCCUUCCAGACUCCAAAGUGCUAUAUUACUGCUGUUUGUCUCUCUUGAGCCACCGUAACUGCAUCGCUUUAACACUUCAUCAAAAUAGUAUGAAUUAAUCGAAGAUAAAUCAUAUACAGUAUAUCAUUUUACGGGUUUUUUUCUGAGGAGGUCUUAGUUGCGCAAUUUUACAUCUAACCAAGAUGUUUGGUGCAGUAUUUCUCAAGUGACAAAAUGUGCAUGAAAACUAGUCGUCUCUCGUUGAAUGACAAACUUUGUUGAAGACUCCUUCCCCUAAUUCCCACUUCUACUAGGAGUAGUACUGCUAACCAAUCUCUUAUGAAGAGGCGGUAGACUCAAGAAAACUUGCCUCAAGAAAAACAGACGGGUGCAACUUUGCUUAACUGAGCUCAAGGCUAGAAAUCAACACAUCUGAAGAAAUAUAAAUGAAAAUGAAAGAUGCCAUCUCUUCUAGAAAGAGCCCAGAUGUUACAUCAUCCCGACAACCCUCAGAUUUGACCACUUUCCAGAAAUGAGCUAGAUUUCCACCACUCUCAGCUACACAAUUCAAGAAGCGAAAGAUUUACGGAUCCUCCUGGACCAGGCCCAAAUCCCUGUUAUUCACAUGAAGAGGAGACGCCGAUACAGGGGGCGCAGAUCCUGGUGCUUGGUGAGAAUUUGUCAGCGAGUGGAUAAUCCGCCUUUACCAUCCAUCCUACUGGCAAAUUUGCAAUCACUUGAGAAUAAACUGGAUGAGCUCCGUUCGGGACUAUCCUACCAACGGGGCCUUAAAAACUGUAAUAUCUUAUGAUUCACCGACAUGGAUAAAAUACAGUUGGCUGGCUUUUCUGUGCAUUGGCAAGAACAUCAACCUCUGGUAAGACAAAGGGUUGCAUCAGAUGCAUGCUUAGUCCCCUCCUAUACUCCCUGUUCACCCAAGAUGGCCACGCACGACUCCAACACCAUCAUUAAGUUUGCCGAUGACACAACAGUGGUAGGUAGGCCUGAUCACCGACAACAAUGAGACAGCAUACAGGGAGGAGGUCAGAGACCUGGCAGUGUGGUGCCAGGACAACAACAUCUCCCUCAACAUGAGCAAGACAAAAGAGCUGAUCGUGGACUACAGGAAAAGGAGGGCCGAGCACACCCCCUUUCACAUUGAUGGGACUGUAGUGGAGCAGGUCAAGAGCAUUCUGACUGGUUGCAUCACCGCUUGGAAUGGCAACUGCUCUGCAUCCAAUUGCAAGAUGCUGCAGAGGGUAGUGCGUAUGGUCCAGUACAUCACUGGGGCCAAGCUUCCUGCCAUCCAGGACCUCUAUACCAGGCGGUGUCAGAGGAAGGCCCUUAAAAGGUGUUGAAGGCUCCAGCCACCCUAGUCAUAGACUGUUCUCUCUGCUACCGCACCGCAAGCAGUACCAGAGCACCAAGUCUAGGUCCAAAAGGAUCAUUAAUAGCUUCUACCACCAAGCCAUAAGACUGCUAAACAGUACCCAGACUAUUUGCAUUGACCCCCUUUUUUAUGCUGCUGCUACUCGCUGUUUAUUAUCAAUGCAUACAGCUUAUCAAUAAAUAACUCUACCCACAUUUACAUAUUACCUCAAUUACACCGACUAACCUGUACCCCCUCACAUUGACUGCGUACCGGUAUCCCCUGUAUAUAGCCUCAUUAUUUUAUUGUUCAUUUUUUUUCAUUUUUUUUUUUUUAGUUUUGUAUUUUUUUAAUAAACAAAUUCUUACUUGAAUUUUUUUUUUUGCAUUGUUGGUUAAUUUCUAUUCUGGGC